RNAcentral lists this ribosomal RNA (376 nucleotides) under uncultured bacterium. Its description in RNAcentral is "bacterial SSU rRNA". It matches the Rfam family "Bacterial small subunit ribosomal RNA", at positions 524 to 898 of the family's 1533-position model. The record is from RNAcentral.
UACGGAGGGUGCAAGCGUUAAUCGGAAUUACUGGGCGUAAAGCGCGCGUAGGCGGCUUUGUAAGUCGGAUGUGAAAGCCCUGGGCUUAACCUGGGAAUUGCAUUCGAUACUGCUUAGCUAGAGUAUGGUAGAGGGAAGUGGAAUUUCCGGUGUAGCGGUGAAAUGCGUAGAUAUCGGAAGGAACACCAGUGGCGAAGGCGACUUCCUGGGCCAAUACUGACGCUGAGGCGCGAAAGCGUGGGGAGCAAACAGGAUUAGAUACCCUGGUAGUCCACGCCGUAAACGAUGAGAACUAGAUGUCGGGGGAACUUAGUCUCCCGGUGUCGCAGCUAACGCGUUAAGUUCUCCGCCUGGGGAGUACGCCGGCAACGGUAAA